ACGGCUCAGUAACACGUAGUCAACAUAACCAAAGGACGUGGAUAAACUCGGGAAACUGAGGCUAAACCGCGAUAGACCAAGAUUCCUGGAAUGGUUUUUGAUCAAAAUCUAUAUGGCCUUUGGAUUGGACUGCGACCGAUCAGGCUGUUGGUGAGGUAAUGGCUCACCAAGCCAUUUACCGGUGCGGGCCGUGAGAGCGGGAGCCCGGAGAUGGGCACUGAGACAAGGGCCCAGGCCCUACGGGGCGCAGCAGUCGCGAAAACUUUGCAAUAAGCGAAAGCUUGACAGGGCUAUCCCGAGUGCCAUCCGCUGAGGAAGGCUUUUACCCAGUCUAGAACGCUGGGGGAAUAAGGAGAGGGCAAGUCUGGUGUCAGCCGCCGCGGUAAUACCAGCUCUCCGAGUGGUGUGGAUGUUUAUUGGGCCUAAAGCAUCCGUAGCUGGCUAAGUUAGUCCCUUGUUAAAUCCACCGAAUUAAUCGUUGGAUUGCGGGGGAUACUGCUUGGCUAGGGGACGAGAGAGGCAGACGGUAUUUCCGGGGUAGGGGUGAAAUCCUAUAAUCCCGGGAAGACCACCAGUGGCGAAGGCUGUCUGCUAGAACGCGCCCGACGGUGAGGGAUGAAAGCUGGGGGAGCGAACCGGAUUAGAUACCCGGGUAGUCCCAGCUGUAAACGAUGCAGGCUAGGUGUUUGGACGGCCACGUGCCGUUCUAGUGCCGCAGGGAAGCUGUUAAGCCUGCCGCCUGGGGGAGUACGAUCGCAAGAUUGAAACUUAAAGGAAUUGGCGGGGGAG
Molecule: ribosomal RNA, 789 nt
Filed under: uncultured archaeon
Lineage: Archaea
Description: bacterial SSU rRNA
Rfam family: Archaeal small subunit ribosomal RNA
Source: RNAcentral